CCUACGGGAGGCAGCAGUAGGGAAUCUUCCACAAUGGGCGAAAGCCUGAUGGUGCAACGCCGCGUGGGUGAAGAAGGUCUUCGGAUCGUAAAACCCUGUUGUUAGAGAAGCAAGUGCGUGAGAGUAACUGUUCACGUUUCGACGGUAUCUAACCAGAAAGCCACGGCUAACUACGUGCCAGCAGCCGCGGUAAUACGUAGGUUGCAAGCGUUAUCCGGAUUGAUUGGGCGUAAAGGGAACGCAGGCGGUCUUUUAAGUCUGAUUUGAAAGCCUUCGGCUUAACCGGAGUAGUGCAUUGGAAACUGGGAGACUAGAGUGCAGGAGAGGAGAGUGGAACUCCAUGUGUAGCGGUGAAAUGCGUAGAUAUAUGGAAGAACACCAGUGGCGAAAGCGGCUCUCUGGUCUGUAACUGACGCUGAGGUUCGAAAGCGUGGGUAGCAAACAGGAUUAGAUACCCCUGUAGUC
This 465-nucleotide ribosomal RNA is filed under the name uncultured bacterium. RNAcentral's name for it is "partial 16S ribosomal RNA". It matches the Rfam family "Bacterial small subunit ribosomal RNA", at positions 338 to 795 of the family's 1533-position model. The record is from RNAcentral.